This is a non-coding RNA of Podarcis lilfordi (Lilford's wall lizard), 84 nucleotides long. NCBI's taxonomy places the organism in Eukaryota, Metazoa, Chordata, Lepidosauria, Squamata, Lacertidae. The record is from the annotation of a GenBank genome assembly.
UGCCAGGUUUAAAGGGAUAGCUCAGUGGGUAGAGCAUGAGACGUUUGAUCUCAGGGUUGUGGGUUCAUGCCCCACGCUGGGUAA